UGGGGAAUCUUGCGCAAUGGGCGAAAGCCUGACGCAGCAACGCCGCGUGCGGGAUGAAGGCCUUCGGGUUGUAAACCGCUUUCAGGAGGGACGAAAUUGACGGUACCUCCAGAAGAAGCCCCGGCCAACUACGUGCCAGCAGCCGCGGUAACACGUAGGGGGCGAGCGUUGUCCGGAUUUAUUGGGCGUAAAGAGCUCGUAGGUGGCUGAGUAAGUCGGGUGUGAAACCUCCAGGCUCAACCUGGAGACGCCACCCGAUACUGCUCUAGCUCGAGUCCGGUAGGGGAGCGUGGAAUUCCUGGUGUAGCGGUGAAAUGCGCAGAUAUCAGGAGGAACACCAGCGGCGAAGGCGGCGCUCUGGGCCGGUACUGACACUGAGGAGCGAAAGCGUGGGGAGCAAACA
RNAcentral lists this ribosomal RNA (403 nucleotides) under uncultured Acidimicrobiales bacterium. Its description in RNAcentral is "partial 16S ribosomal RNA". It matches the Rfam family "Bacterial small subunit ribosomal RNA", at positions 355 to 774 of the family's 1533-position model. The record is from RNAcentral. Lineage: Bacteria; Bacillati; Actinomycetota; Acidimicrobiia; Acidimicrobiales.